UUUUUUUUAUUAAAGUAUUUUGGGGAUGCCUUGACUAUAUAUCAUGAAUGGGCGUUAAAUUAUGCGAAAAGUUGUAUCUGAGACAAACUGUGAGAGAGGUACAAAUACCCAUCGUGGAAAACCACAUUAAGAUUCACACAAAGGGAAUUGAAACAUCUUAGUACCUUUAGGAAAAGAAAUCAACCGAGAUUCCGUGAGUAUUGGCGAAAGAAAACGGAGCAGGCCGUAUAUAUACGUUUGUGCAAAACAUGUCUGGGAAGCAUGACCAAAGAAGGUAAAAGUCCUGUAUGAUAAAAACGUAUAUAUCAAAAAAGUAAAACAUUUUAAUUUGUUUGAAGAUAGGAGAACCACCUUCUAAGCCUGAAUAUGAUAUAUAGAUCGAUAGUGUACAAGUACUGUGAAGGAAAGGUGAAAAGAACCCUUUAUAACAGGGAGUGAAAAGAUCUGAAACAAAAUACUGACAAGCAAUUGGAGCUUAGCUUUUAUUUUUAAAUAAAACAUAGUGACAGUGUACCUUUUGCAUAAUGGGUCAGCGACUAAAUGAAACAAGUAUGCGUAAGCAGUGAUGUGGACGCAGAGCAAAAGCAAGUCGACAAUGGCAUGAUAUUUGGUUCAUUUGACCCGAAACUAAGUGAUCUUAUCUUGAACAGGUUGAAGAAAGCGUAAUGUCUUUUGGAGGACCGAACCGACGUCUGUAGCAAUAGACGCGGAUGAUUUGAGAUAAGGGGUGAAAGGCCAAUCAAACUUAGAAAUAGCUGGUUCUUCGCGAAAUAUAUUGAGGUAUAGCGUACAUAGAAUUUCUGUUACUGGGGGUAGAGCACUCAUUGAGCUAUGGGGGUCCAAAACCUUACUGCUCUCAAGGAAACUCCGAAUACCAUAUAACAUGAUGUGUGUGCAGUCAGACAUAUAGUGCUAAGGUUAUAUGUCGAAAGGGAAACAGCCCAGCCCAGCCGCUAAGGUCCCUAAGCUUUCUGUGAGUGGGAAAAGGAGUGAAACAACGUUGACAACUAGGAGGUUGGCUUGGAAGCAGCCAUUCUAUCAUGAAAGCGUAAUAGCUCACUAGUCGAGUUGUUUUGCACUGAAAAUGUAUCGGGGCUGAACAGAAACACCGACGCGCUGGUUUUAUAUUUUAAAAGGUAGCGAAGCGUUUUGUACGCCAAAGAAGUAUUUUCAGAAGAAAAUACUGAGGUAUCAAAAGUGACUAUGCUGACAUGAGUAACGAAAAUCAUGUACAAUCAUGAUCACCGUAUGUUCAAGGGUUUCUGCGUCCUGGUUUACAGCGCAGAGUUAUGUCCGGUCCCUAAGAGACACACGCACUCGUGUGCUUAAUGGAUGUCAUUUAUGUAAGACGGUACGUACUUCUAAAAACUACAAUUGGAUAUGGUGUAUAGUAAGUAGGUAUCCAGGAAAAUUCAUAAAUAUAUUGACCGUACCCUAAACCGACACAGGUGAACGAGUCGAAUAGACUCAGGUGAUGAGAGAACCACAUUGAAGGAACUCGGCAAAAUAUUCCCGUACCUUAGGAAGAAGGGAAGCCAAAAAUGGUGACACAAAAAUGGGGGUGACGACUUUUUACUAAAAAAUUAGGACUCUGCUAAAUGGUAACAUGACGUAUAGGGUCUGACGUCUGCCCGGUGCUAGAAGUAUAAAAGGAGUGUUGAAAGAUACGAAUGGAAAGCCUAGUAAACGGCGGUUGUAACUAUAACAAUCAUAAAGUAGCGAAAUUCAUUGCCAGCUAAUUCCUGGCCUGCAUGAAAGACGUAACGAUUGCCCCACUGUCUCCAGUGUGGACUCAGUGAAAUUGAAUUCUCCGUGCAGAUGCGGAGUACGUGCCCCAAGACGAGAAGACCCUGUGCAUCUUUACUGUACAUUUACAUUGACAAAACCAUACGUAUGUGUAGGAUAGGUGGGAGUACAAACAUCCUUGAAAUACCACCCUUACUAUGUUUUUUGUCUAACAUCGGAGAUAGACAAUGUAUGUGAGGCAGUUUGACUGGGGCGGUCGCCUCCUAAAGAGUAACGGAGGCGUGCGAAGGUAAACUCAAUGUAGAUCGGAAACCUACUGAAGAGCGUAAUGGUAUAUGUUUGCCUGACUGCAAGAUUUACAGAUCGAGCAGAGACGAAAGUCGGUCAUAAUGAUCCACAAGUACUGCGUGGAAAGGCUUGUGCUUAACGAAUCAAAGAUACGCCAGGGAUAACAGGCUGAUAAUUCCCUAGAGUCCAUAUCGACGGAAUUGUUUGGCACCUCGAUGUUGACUGAUCAUAUCCUGGGGCUGAAGAAGGUCCCAAGGGUUCGGCUGUUCGCCGAGUAACAUGGUACCUGAGUUGAGUUUAGAACGUCGUGAGACAGUUUGGAUUCUACCUGGGGUGCGCGUAAGAAUUGAGAAAACCACAUCCUUGUACGAGAGGACCGGAUGUGUACAACCUCUGGUAUAGUAAUUGUCCGGCCACGGGCAUGGUUACUACGCUACGUUGUGAAAGGAUAAGUACUGAAAGCAUAUCAAGUACGAAACUUUUUUCAAGACAUAUUCUUUAUCGUAUUGUAUAUCGUACAAGUUGAGUACGUUAAUAGAUAAGCUGUGUAUUAUUUGUAAAAAUAGAAGCAUCCUUAUACUAAACUAUACAUUUUUUUUUCUGU
This 2638-nucleotide ribosomal RNA is filed under the name seawater metagenome. RNAcentral's name for it is "bacterial LSU rRNA". It matches the Rfam family "Bacterial large subunit ribosomal RNA". The record is from RNAcentral.